GUAUUUGUUCUGCCCAAAAUCUGACCGCUGAUGUGAAUGUGGUACAUGUAGGUGGGCUGCUUGCAGUGCCCUGUGCAUUCGUGUGUGAGACUGACUUUUGCUUGGAAAUAUCCACUGGAGGAGAAGAUACCUAAUGAUUUGUGCUUGCUUGCUUAGUGACUAUCAAGCUUUCCUCUUGAGAUUAUCCCUGCUUAGAGUAUUUGAGCUUGAUUUGAUUUAAUACCAGUUUUGCUAUGCUGUAAGUCUAAAUAAGUGCAAUGGAGUAAGAUUGGAAAUAACAUCUGUGGGCAAAAUCCCUGAAAGGAAUGGAAAUAACUCCAAAAACCUCUUGUGGUUUUUGGAUAAAUCCUCUAUCUUUAAAGCGUGGGAGGAAAUUGGCAUGUGCGUCCAUUUGUCUAUGCAGAUGUCUAUUUCUUUAUUCAUCAGAAACAAUUGCACACAUGGGCAACUAUUUUCUCUUGCAAAUAGUGGUUACUGUGCAUAUGGAUUCUAGAGGAGUUUUUCAAAAAUAUUUCUUUUAAUAAGACAAUCACUAGCACCUCCUACUUCGGUGUUGUUCUAACAGUUGUGAAAUAUUCUUUGAAUAUUAAUAGUUGUAGAUUACUUAAAAAAAUUGAAAGAAGAUAGAAGAGGAAGUCCUUGAGUGAUGAACAUGAAGUAUCAGUUAAAAGGUUAAUUAUUUUACUAGCAUUAAUAUCUUUUAGAUUUAGUUGCCUAAAAGCAUAAACUUCUAGCCAUCUAGACUCCCUCAGAUCAACCAGACGUGUAAAUGCAUCAAUCCGUGGACUUUAGGGAUGAUGCUGUAAGACAAGGCAGUAAGACAUCUAGAGGGACAUUGCUUCCUUUUGGAGGUGUUUUUUUUCCCUCCAAAUAGCAAGAGAUCUCAGUAAUUCUACCUUUCUUUUUAGGAUGAGCCUGAAAUUAUUAAUUUUCUCUGCUAUAUUUACUGUUAGACAAUAUUUUUCUAUGAAUCAGCUUGUUUCUCUCAGUUUCUCUCAGUUUCUCUCAGUUUCUGUCAAAGCCUGAUCUUGCAGAAUAAGGCAAGUGAAAUGGGAAUGGAGGAAUCAUAAAGAGCACAGAUCUCAGUUUACUGGAUAUUCUCUUUCAUUCAUUGUCAUUGCAAUGUAAUGAGCUGAAUCUAUAAUUCCGUGACCAUCACGUGUUUUUGUUUUUGUUUGUUUGUUUUCUUUUUUGACACAAUCUUAGUUACUGGUUGUGGUCCUUUGGUUUAUUACCAUUGCAAAGUAGGCAGCUGAAUCAAUGACAUAUGAAUCCCUGAUCAUGUUUUUUUUGUUUGUUUGUUUGUUUUGCACAGAACUGAGUUAAUUGGAUGCGGUCAUUGGUUUAUUGUCAUUGCAAUGUAGGUACCAUAACCUGUGAUCUAUGAAUCCAUGAUCAUCUUGUUUUCUUUUUUUUGCAGAGAUCUCAGCUCAUUAGUUGUGGUCUUCGGUUUACUGUGAUUGCAAUGUAGGAAGUUGAAUCUGUGAUCAUCUUGGGUGUUUUUUUUUGUUUUGUUUUGUUUUUUUGGCAAAGAUGUUAGAAUAUUGUUUGUAGUCUUUGGUUUAUUGUCACUGCAAUGUAGAAUGCUGAAUCCAUGAUAUACAAAUCCAUUAUCUUCAUGGGGUUUUUUUGCACAGAUCUUAGUUCAUCAGUUGCGUGCUUUGGUUUAUUAUCACUGUAAUGUAGGAAGCUUAAACUAUGAUCUAUGGAUCCAUGAUCAUCAUGGUUUUUCUUGCACAGAUCAUAAUUUAUUGGAUAUGGACUUUGGUUUAUUAUCAUUGCAAUGUAGAUAGCUGAAUCCAUGAUCAUCAUGGGUUUUUUUUUGUUUGUUUUUUUUGCAGAGAUCUUAGUUUGUUAGUUGUGGUCUUUGGUUUAUUGUUAUUGUAAUGUCAGAUGCUGAAUUUAUGAUCUAUGGAUCCAUGAUCAUCUUGGGUUUUUUGCACAGGAAUUAGAUUAUUGGUUGUGGUUUUUGGUUUAUUGUCAUUGCAAUGUAGUAAGCUGAGCCUGUGAUCUAUGAAUUCAUGAUCAUCUUGUUAUUUUUUUUGCACAGAUCUUAGUUUAUUAGUUGUGGUCUUUGAUUUAUUGUAAUAUAGGAUGCUGAAUCCAUGAUCUAUGAAUCCAUCAUCAUCUUGAGGUUUUUUUUUUUGCACAAAUCUUAGUUCAUCAGUUGUGCGCUUUGGUUUAUUAUCACUGUAAUAUAGGAAGCUGAAUCUAUUAUCUAUGGAUCUGUGAUCAUCUGGUUUUUUUUUGUUCUGGUUGUUGUUUGUUUGGACAUCUUAGUUUACCGGUUGUGGUCUUGGAUUUAGUGUCUUUGUAAUGUAAGUAGCUGAAUCUAUGAUCUGUGGAUUCAUGAUCAUAUUGGUUUUUCUUGCACAGAUCAUAAUUUUUUGGACAUGGACUUUGGUUUAUUUUCAUUGCAGUGUAGAUAGCUGAAUCCAUGAUCAUCUUGUUUUUUGUUUUGUUUUGGGUGGUUUUUUUAUUUUUAUUUUUAUUUUUUUUCAGAUAUCUUAAUUUAUUACUUGUGGUCUUUGGUUUAUUGUCAUUGUAAUGUUGGAUGCUGAAUCUGUGAUCUAUGAAUUCAUGAUCAUCUUCUUAUAUUUUUAGCCCAGAUCUUAGUUUAUUGGUUGUGGUUUUUGGUUUAUUGUCACUACAAUGUAGGAAACGAAAUCUAUGAUCUAUGAAUUCAUGAUCAUCGUGCUAUUUUUUUUAGCACAGGGCUUAGUUUGUUAGUUGUUGUCCUUGGUUUAUUAUCAUUGCAAUGUGGAUAGCUGAAUCUGUGAUCUAUGAAUCCAUCAUCAUCUUGGUGUUUUGUUUUUUUUUGUUGUUGUUGUUUUUUUCUUCAGAGAUCUUAGUUUAUCAGUUGUGGUCUUUGGUUUAUUAUCACUGUAAUGUAGGAAGCUGAAUCUAUGAUCUAUAGAUCCAUGAUCAUCUUUUUUUUGUUUUUUUUUUUUUUUUUUUCACAUGUAUUAGUUCUUUGGUUGUGGCUUUUGGUUUAUUGUCACUGCAGUGUAGGAAGCUGAAUCCAUAAUCUAUGAAUUCAUGAUCAUCGUGCUAUUUUUCUAGCAAAGGCCUUUAUUAGUUGUGGUCUUUUGAUUAUUGUCAUUGUAAUGUAGGAUGCUGAGUCUACAAUCUAUGGAUACAUAAUCAUCUUGGGUUUUUUUAGCAGAGAUCUUAGUUUAUUAGUUCUGGUCUUUGGUUUAUUGUCAUUGCAAUGUAGAUAGCUGAAUCCAUGAUCAUCUUGUUAUUUUUUUAGCACACAUCUUAGUUUAUUUGUUGCGGUCUUUGGUUUAUUAUUGUUGCUAUGUAGGUAGCUGGAGUUAUGAUCUAUGAAUUUAUGAUCAUCUUGUUAUGUUUUUAGCACUGAUCUUAGUUUAUUGGUUGUGGUCUUUGGUUUAUUAUCAUUGUAAUGUAGGAGUUGAAUCUAUGAUCUAUGGAUCCAUGAUCAUCUUGGGUUUUUUUUAGCAGAGAUCUUAGUUAGUUGUGGUCUUUCGAUUAUUGUCAUUGCAAUGUAGGAAGCUGACUCUACGAUCUAUGGAUCCAUAAUCAUCUUGGGUUUUUUUGCACAUAUUGUAAUUUACUGGAUAUGAUCUUUGGUUUAUUAUCAUUGCAAUGUAGGUAGCUGAAUCCAUGAUCUAUGAUCAUCUUGUUAUUUUCUUUGCAGAGAUCUUAGUUUAUUAGUUGUGAUCUUUGGUUUAUUGUCCAUGCAAUUUGGAGGUUGAAUCUAUGGAUCCAUGAUCAUCUAGAUAUUUUGUUUUCUUUUGUUUGUUUGUUUGUUUGUUUGUUUUGUCUGUUUUUUCACAGAUUUUACAUAAUUGGUUGUGGUUUUUGAUUUAAUGUCACUGUAGUGAAGGAAGCUGAAUCCAUAAUUUAUGAAUCCAUGCUCAUCUCGGGUUUUGUUGUGGAGAUGUUAGUAUACUGUUUGUGGUCUUUGGUUUAUUGUCACUGCAAUGUAGAAAGUUGAAUCUAUGGAUCCAUGAUCACCUAGGGUUAUUUUUAUCACAGAUGUUAGUUUCUUAGCUGUGGUCUUCAGGUUAUUAUUAUUGGUAUGUAUGCAGCUGAAUCUAUGAUCUGUGAAUUUAUGAUCAUCUUGUUAUUCUUUUUAGCACAGAUCUUAGUUUAUUGGUCAUGGUCUUUGAUUUAGUGUCAUUGUAAUGUAUGAUGCUGAAUCUAUGGAUCCAUGAUCAUCUUCAUUUUUCUUGCACAGGUUAUAAUUUAUUAGAUAUGGACUUUGCUUUAUUAUCAUUGCAAUAUAGAUAGUUGAAUCCAUGAUAAUCUUUUUUUUUUCUUUUUUUCUUUUUUUUUGCAGAGAUCUUAGUUUAUUAGUUGUGAUCUUUGGUUUAUUGUCACUGCAAUGUAGAAAGGUGAAUUUUUUAUCUAUAGUUCCUAGAUCAUCUUGGUUUUCUUGCAGAGAUUUUAGUGUUUUGGUUGUGUUCUUUGAUUUAGUGUCAUUGCAAUGUAGAUCGCUGAAUUUAUGAUCUAUGAAUCAUAAUCAUCCAUGAGCAUCUUGGGUUUUUUUUAGCACAGAUCGUAGUGUAUUGGUUGUGGUCUGUGGGUUAUUGUAAUGUAGGUAGGUGAAUCCACUAUCUAUGAAUCCAUGAUCAUCUUGAGUUUUUUGUUAUUCUUGUUUUUUUUUUCCUUUUUUUGCACUGAUCUUAGUUCAUAGGCUGUGGUUUUUGAUUUACUGUCAUUGCAAUGUAGGUAGCUGAAUCCAUGAUCUAUGCAUCCACGAUCAUCUUGUUCUGUGUCUUUUUUUUUGUGCACAGAUGCUAGUUUAUUGUGUGUGGUCUUCAGUUCAUUUUCUUUGCCAGGGGGGAAGCUGAGUAUAUGAUCUAUGAAUCCAUGGGCCUGAGAGAAUGUGUGUGCCUGGAUUGAGUGGUCACAGGAUCACUGAGCCCCAAUCAGUCAAAAAUACUUUUUACUUGGCUUCAAAAUGUGUAGAAUUGAAACAAAAUUCUUACCUUUUCCUGAAAAAUAGCUCCCAGCUGGAAUGAUUGAAUAUGCUGAUCAUUGUGCAGAUGAUACAUUUUUACUUUGUCUAUGUAAUGCCUUCUCUCCAAAAAUCAGAACCAAGUGAGGCUUUGUCUAUCUUUUUCUCUAUAUAUUUGCUGGAAGCACAAAGACUGUGUUGCAUUUGUCAUGGAGGCUGACAGAAGGCAUAUGGAUGAUGGUACUCCUUAUUGCAGGCAGUCAUGUUCAGAUGACAGGACCAGAGAAAAAUGGCCAAGCUGCUCCAAUUUUUCAUGCUAGCUGCAUUUGGCGUUUAAUGACACUACUGCAGCAAAUUGGUUCUAUUACACGGAAUAGAGAAAGAUGUUCUGUUUUGUAACGUUUGGAAUGGCUGCUUAUUUAUAUUUAACAUUGCAGGGACAGGCUAGAAACCCUCUUACUCAUUAGGACCAACUUGAUCCUAAUAUACAAAUAUACAGAAAAAUAGCAGAUGCUCUACAAAGUAAAAGCAGUCCAAACAAUUGAUUUUUUAUUUGUAUGUAUUCAGAGUGCCAAAAUGAUGUGGCUGAUCCCGACAAGGCAGAAGAGAUUGAGAUGUAAAACUUGAUGUGAACGGCAAUGCUGAACGUUAGUUCUCAAGGAGAGAGAUCCUCUCAUUGAGGAUUGGUGCAAUGCAUCGCUUAGUUUUUUUGCUGUGUUCAGUAGAGUUUGCUCUGAUUUUCCACUGUUUAGGUAAUUUCUGUAUUUCAGAUUUUUGUCCCCCAUGCUAAUAAUUGUAUGCACACAAGUCAGAUAACAGCUGCCACUAACUCUUAACACACCUGGUACUCAAGUCCAAUUUCCACAGCUCAAAUGCAUUCUCAGUUGAAAUGAACUGGGCUCAGAUCAUCCCCUUAACCUACCUGUGUUACCCUACGUGCUUAAUAAUUAUUUCUGGAUCUUUUUCCAUGUUAAAUUUGAGGGAGCAACUUUUUAAAAAUCUGUGAUUUGAAUGGACUAACUCCGAUAAUCUACAGGAUGGCCACAUGUUGUGCUUUUUGGUUGGUUUUCUAUUCUGGAUUGGAAUUGCUAUUUAUUUUAAUCUAACAGUUUUGGAUUGAUAUAACUGUCCCUAGUAGUAGAUGGUGGCAAUUUUAUAGGAUCUCUCAUGUAUAAAGGACAAAAAUUUCAGCUGUCUCUUACAUCUUAUUUUUUUCUAACUGUAUGAAAUAAAUAUCAUAAAAUCUAUGUUAGUACUGCUGUGUGAUAAAACCUUUAAACUAGGCAUUAAAAUUAUCUCAAUUUUUCUCCUAUAUGUUGCAUUUUUAAACCACAAGCUUUCAGAAUAACUAUUUUACAAAAAAUGUGGUAGAAAAAAAUCUCUACUUUUGGAGGUGACCGUUUAAUAUAACUGCAUUAUAAGUUCUGUCACUCAGCUUCUGACAAAAACCCAGAGUAAAUUAAGAUGUGUAUAUAACUGAGAAAAUCUGACCUGGAUUUUAAAUGGUAGUUGGGCAGUUCAAAUUGGUAUUUUAAUAUUACAGACUGUAUUUCAAUCUUAGAAAAUACUGAAAACGCAGAGCUGUUGAUACCAAUCUUUGUGUUUAUGAACUGUUUCCAGAUCAGUAGAGCUUAUGAGAGUGUCUAAAUCAGUAAUGCAGGAACAGAAAGUUGCACUUUUUUUGUUUUUGACUUGCAGUCUAUAUAUUAUUGUCUCAUUGCUAUUCCAGGCAGAUUUCCUUAAAAAUACUAAGACAAAUGCUAGUUGGGAAGCA
Gallus gallus (chicken) is the source of this 6701-nucleotide long non-coding RNA. The record is from Ensembl. NCBI's taxonomy places the organism in Eukaryota, Metazoa, Chordata, Aves, Galliformes, Phasianidae.